UGUUACAUGGUAGGGUAUUUAUUCAGUACAUUUUUUCUUUUUCAAGUAAAGUAUAAGGGAGUUGUACUCCAGGCUAGUAGGUGGCGGUUAAGCAACAAAUUGGAUGCCAACCGCCGUUAAACCUCAGAAGAAGAAGAUUGUCGGACCAUCAACGGAAAAGGAAGAACGUCAUUAUACGGAAGAGGAAGGAAAGUGUGUUUGAAACUAAAAUCGCUAGUAACAACCAGCAUCAAACGUAACAUUGCUUGUCAAAUGGAUAUCAUUUCUCGUUAUGGUUUGUAGUUAUGCUGGCUUUGCUUCUGCUGUCUUUCUACAACAUCCGAAGGUGGGUUGUUCACACCAUCGCUUAGCUAGCUUCAGAAAGCUCAGCUACCUAGCUAGCUAAGUUAGCUAGUAAACACAAUGUAAGCUGGCUAGCAAAGAUACAUCCUGAAGUGAUAUAACGUUGUUAGCAAUACGAUGUGAAGUUAUAUGGUGUUAUUCUCAACUUGCUAUCAUCUUAGAUCAUCCAGAUGCAGGUUUACGUAGCUAACGUUAACCAGUUAACUGGGUCAGCAUGUCAUUACGUUAACUAGUUAACUGGGUCAGCAUGUCAUUACGUUAACAAGUAAUGUUGACAUUAUGGUCAACUGUGGCUCCCGAGUGGUGUAGCGGUCCGGGUUUGGCCCGUGUAGGCCGUUCAUUGUAAAUAAGAAUUAGUUCUUAACUGACUUGUCUAGUUAAACAAAGGUCACAAAAAAUGACAAUUUCCAGUGACACAGUAGCCAGCUAGCUCUGCAGACCCUGUUCUACUUCAGUAGCCAGCUAGCUCUGCAGACCCUGUUCUACUUCAGUAGUCAGCUAGCUCUGCAGACCCUGUUCUACUUCAGUAGCCAGCUAGCUCUGCAGACCCUGUUCUACUUCAGUAGCCAGCUAGCUCUGCACACCCUGUUCUACUUCAGUAGCCAGCUAGCUCUGCAGACCCUGUUCUACUUCAGUAGCCAGCUGGCUCUGCACACCCUGUUCUACUUCAGUAGCCAGCUAGCUCUGCAGACCCUGUUCUACUUAAGUAGCCAGCUAGCUCUGCAGACCCUGUUCUACUUCAGUAGCCAGCUAGCUCUGCAGACCCUGUUCUACUUCAGUAGCCAGCUAGCUCUGCAGACCCUGUCCUACUUCAGUAGCCAGCUAGCUCUGCAGACCCUGUUCUACUUCAGUAGCCAGCUAGCUCUGCAGACCCUGUUCUACUUCAGUAGCCAGCUAGCUCUGCCGACCCUGUUCUACUUCAGUAGCGAGUAUCAAGUGUAUGAGUGUGUCCUCAUUGCACGUCUGUUAUUUUAUGUCGCACCUCAAAUGAUGAGCUGGUGGACUGAGACCAGAUGGGGGGGUGUAAUAGGUGGUGACAUGACAGUGUGUUAUCAGAGGACUGAGACCAGAUGGGGGGUGUAAUAGGUGGUGACAUGACAGUGUGUUAUCAGAGGACUGAGACCAGAUGGGGGGUGUAAUAGGUGGUGCCAUGAAAGGGUGUUAUCAGAGGACUGAGACCAGAUGGGGGGUGAAAUAGGUGGUGACAUGACAGUGUGUUAUCAGAGGACUGAGACCAGAUGGGGGGGUGUAAUAGGUGGUGACAUGACAGUGUGUUAUCAGAGGACUGAGACCAGAUGGGGGGGUGUAAUAGGUGGUGACAUGAGGGUGGGUAUAAUUUGUGUAACGUUACAACAAAAAAAAAAAACUUCGUAAAUAUCAAGGUUGCCAACAAACAACACAAACAAAGUCGUAUAACGGUAGAAUGAGAUACCGGGUAGAGAGUGAACAAUGUAAUAACGUUUUUCAACCACCACGUUUAUUCUGAAAAAUGUCUCUCUUCGUUCUGGUAGCCUCCACCAUUCCUCGUUCGUUGGUUUAGUUAUUAUUUCCGGGGUUCCUGCAUUCGUAAGGUGAACUCUGUUGCGCCUCAAUUAGGGAAUCGCUAUGGUUGAAAUGUAACUAAUCACUGCCAGCCCCAGUAUUUUAUUAGCUAGGUGGCUUGGACACAAUUGUUACCGAUGAUACUGUAUACACCAGCCUACUAUUAUUACAUAAACAUACAUUGUAUUUUACCAAGUUCUCUCUGUGUUAAUCCUGUUUCCCAAAUAUAUCAGCUAACUUGUGUCGAUGUUGUUUAGUUCAACUUGCCUAGUUAAAUAAAGAUUAAAUAAAUUAGAACAUAUAAAAUAUAUGCUUUGACCUAUUCCAGGUAACCUAAAGAUGCUUGAUUCACUACAGCUGCUUUUGAAGAACUUUCCAGUCGUAUUUGCUUUACAUUCCGACUUUACAUUCCGACUUUUGAACGUGUGUUUAUUGGACAUAUAUAUUAGUGUCUAAUAAAACAGAGCAUCCCAUCUGUUUUAAGGUUAUAGUUUGUGUGAUGUAGUUCCUCUUGAUGUCCACUAGGUGUCAGCACAGUUUCAAUAAUGUCACACCAGGUUACUACAUGUUUUCAUGUUGUGAAUGCUACAUGUGUAGACCUUACAGUGAAAUGUUGACUUACAAGCCCUUAACCAACAAUUUAGUUUUAAGAAAAAUAUGUGUUAAGUAAAAAAUAAGAAAUAAAAGUAACAAAUAAUUAAAGAGCAGCAGUAAAAUCAAAAUAGCGAGGCUCGAUACAUGGGGUACCGGUUAGUCGAGGUAAUUGAGGUGUUCCUUUCAAGUCCAGUGGUGUAAAUUACUUAACAAAAAUGUAUUUAAACUACUCCACUACAUUCCGUUUAUAUAUCUGGUUAUUUUGUAUCUGUACUUUUACUCUCCCUACUGCCUCUGAUCUGGAGGACUCACUAAACAGAGAACAUCCCUGGUCAUCCCUACUGCCUCUGAUCUGGAGGACUCACUAAACAGAGAACAUCCCUGGUCAUCCCUACUGCCUCUGAUCUGGAGGACUCACUAAACAGAGAACAUCCCUGGUCAUCCCUACUGCCUCUGAUCUGGAGGACUCACUAAACAGAGAACAUCCCUGGUCAUCCCUACUGCCUCUGAUCUGGAGGACUCACUAAACAGAGAACAUCCCUGGUCAUCCCUACUGCCUCUGAUCUGGAGGACUCACUAAACACAUGCUUCAUUUGUAAAUGAUGUCUGAUUGUUGGAGUGUUCCCCUGGUUAUUUCUUAAAUAAAAUAACAAGAGAAUCGUUCUGUCUGGUUUGCUUAAUGUAUGGAAGGUCAAAUCAUUUAUACUUUUACCACUGAUACUUAAGUAUAUUUUAGCAAUGACGUUUACUUAGUAUUUUACUGGGUGACUUUCACUUUUACUUGAGUCAUUUUCUAUUAACAUCAUCUUAUUAUUGUACCUUUUUCCCUUCAUUUGCCUCCUACUGUCUAUAAGCUGUCAUAACAUGUGGGUUUUUUCAUGGGGACCAGGUAUCGGAAAGCCUUUGAAGGAUCUACAAAGCCCCCAGGUAAAAGUUGGCUUUUGCAGACAAGGAUUGUAUUGUUUCUCCACGACAUAAUAUGUUAUCACAACUCUAUUAAAA
RNAcentral lists this long non-coding RNA (3480 nucleotides) under Salmo salar (Atlantic salmon). RNAcentral describes it as "lncRNA (ENSSSAG00000102223.1)". The record is from RNAcentral. Lineage: Eukaryota; Metazoa; Chordata; Actinopteri; Salmoniformes; Salmonidae.